UGAAUUGACGGAGACCCGCACAAGCGGUGAUGAUGUGGUUUAAUUCGAUGCAACGCGAAAACCUUACCCACCUUUGACAUGGCAGGAAUCCUAAAGAGAUUUGGGAGUGCUCGAAAGAGAACCUGCACACAGGUGCUGCAUGGCUGUCGUCAGCUCGUGUCGUGAGAUGUUGGGUUAAGUCCCGCAACGAGCGCAACCCUUGCCAUUAGUUGCUACGAAAGGGCACUCUAAUGGGACUGCCGGUGACAAACCGGAGGAAGGUGGGGAUGACGUCAAGUCCUCAUGGCCCUUAUAGGUGGGGCUACACACGUCAUACAAUGGCCGGUACAGAGGGUAGCCAACCCGCGAGGGGGAGCCAAUCCCAUAAAGCCAUUCGUAGUCCGGAUCGCAGUCUGCAACUCGACUGCGUGAAGUCGGAAUCGCUAGUAAUCGUGGAUCAGAAUGUCACGGUGAAUACGUUCCCGGGUCUU
RNAcentral lists this ribosomal RNA (470 nucleotides) under uncultured Allobrachymonas sp. RNAcentral's name for it is "bacterial SSU rRNA". It matches the Rfam family "Bacterial small subunit ribosomal RNA", at positions 907 to 1382 of the family's 1533-position model. The record is from RNAcentral. Lineage: Bacteria; Pseudomonadati; Pseudomonadota; Betaproteobacteria; Burkholderiales; Comamonadaceae.